UGAGGGAUAUUGCACAAUGGGCGCAAGCCUGAUGCAGCGACGCCGCGUGGAUGAAGAAGGCCUUCGGGUCGUAAAAUCCUUUUGCGCGUGACGAGGAAGGACGGUAGCGCGCGAAGAAGUCUCGGCUAACUACGUGCCAGCAGCCGCGGUAAAACGUAGGAGACGAACGUUAUCCGGAGUUACUGGGCGUAAAGGGCGUGCAGGCGGCUUGAUAAGUUCGGCGUGAAAUUUUUCGGCUCAACCGGGGGAUGUCGUCGGAGACUGUCGAGCUAGAGGGCGAUAGAGGCGGGUGGAAUUCCGGGUGUAGUGGUGAAAUGCGUAGAGAUCCGGAGGAACACCAGUGGCGAAGGCGACCCGCUGGGUCGCACCUGACGCUAAGACGCGACAGCAUGGGGAGCGAACGGG
This 405-nucleotide ribosomal RNA is filed under the name Fusobacteriota bacterium. RNAcentral describes it as "Fusobacteria bacterium partial 16S ribosomal RNA". It matches the Rfam family "Bacterial small subunit ribosomal RNA", at positions 355 to 776 of the family's 1533-position model. Lineage: Bacteria; Fusobacteriati; Fusobacteriota. The record is from RNAcentral.